RNAcentral lists this ribosomal RNA (450 nucleotides) under uncultured bacterium. RNAcentral's name for it is "partial 16S ribosomal RNA". It matches the Rfam family "Bacterial small subunit ribosomal RNA", at positions 354 to 796 of the family's 1533-position model. The record is from RNAcentral.
GUUAGGAAUUUUGGACAAUGGGCGAAAGCCUGAUCCAGCAAUGCCGCGUGUGUGAAGAAGGCCUUCGGGUUGUAAAGCACUUUUGUCCGGAAAGAAAUCCUUUGGGUUAAUACCUCGGAGGGAUGACGGUACCGGAAGAAUAAGGACCGGCUAACUACGUGCCAGCAGCCGCGGUAAUACGUAGGGUCCGAGCGUUAAUCGGAAUUACUGGGCGUAAAGCGUGCGCAGGCGGUUUUGUAAGACAGAUGUGAAAUCCCCGGGCUUAACCUGGGAAUUGCAUUUGUGACUGCAAGGCUAGAGUGUGUCAGAGGGGGGUAGAAUUCCACGUGUAGCAGUGAAAUGCGUAGAGAUGUGGAGGAAUACCGAUGGCGAAGGCAGCCCCCUGGGAUAACACUGACGCUCAUGCACGAAAGCGUGGGGAGCAAACAGGAUUAGAAACCCUGGUAGUCC